This 468-nucleotide ribosomal RNA is filed under the name uncultured bacterium. RNAcentral's name for it is "partial 16S ribosomal RNA". It matches the Rfam family "Bacterial small subunit ribosomal RNA", at positions 28 to 507 of the family's 1533-position model. The record is from RNAcentral.
GACGAACGCUGGCGGCGUGCUUAACACAUGCAAGUCGAACGGAAAGGCCCUGCGUUUGUUCGGUGCUCGAGUGGCGAACGGGUGAGUAACACGUGAGUGACCUGCCCUUGACUUCGGGAUAACUUUAGGAAACUGGGUCUAAUACCGGAUAUGAGCUUCUGUUGUAUGGUGUGGUUGGGAAAGUUUCGGCGGUUGGGGAUGGUCUCGGGGUUUAUCGGCGUGUUGGUGGGGUUGUGGCGUCACGGGGCUUCGAGGGAUCGCCGCCCUGCGAGGGUGACCGGCCACAGGGGGACUGAGAUAGGGCACAGACUCAUACGGGGGGCAUGAGUGGAAAAUUGUGCAAAAUGGGCGGGAGGGUGAUGGAGAAACGCCGCGUGCGGGAUGACGGCUUUCGGGGUAUAAACCGCUUGCGACUGAGAAGGAGCGUGAGUGACGGUAAUGGGUGAAGAAGCACCGGCUAACUACGUG